GUUGUAAAGCUCUUUCGUCGGGGAAGAAAAUGACUGUACCCGAAUAAGAAGGUCCGGCUAACUUCGUGCCAGCAGCCGCGGUAAUACGAAGGGACCUAGCGUAGUUCGGAAUUACUGGGCUUAAAGAGUUCGUAGGUGGUUGAAAAAGUUGGUGGUGAAAUCCCAGAGCUUAACUCUGGAACUGCCAUCAAAACUUUUCAGCUAGAGUAUGAUAGAGGAAAGCAGAAUUUCUAGUGUAGAGGUGAAAUUCGUAGAUAUUAGAAAGAAUACCAAUUGCGAAGGCAGCUUUCUGGAUCAUUACUGACACUGAGGAACGAAAGCAUGGGUAGCGAAGAGGAUUAGAUACCCUCGUAGUCCAUGCCGUAAACGAUGUGUGUUAGACGUUGGAAAUUUAUUUUCAGUGUCGCAGUGAAAGCGAUAAACACACCGCCUGGGGAGUACGACCGCAAGGUUAAAACUCAAAUGAAUUGACGGGGACCCGCACAAGUAGUGGAGCAUGUGGUUUAAUUCGAAGAUACGCGCAGAACCUUACCAACACUUGACAUGUUCGUCGCGACUUUAAGAGAUUAAAGUUUUCGGUUCGGCCGGACGAAACACAGGUGCUGCAUGGCUGUCGUCAGCUCGUGUCGUGAGAUGUUGGGUUAAGUCCCGCAACGAGCGCAACCCUCACUUUUAGUUGCCAUCAUUUAGUUGGGCACUCUGAAAGAACUGCCAGUGAUAAGCUGGAGGAAGGUGGGGAUGACGUCAAGUCCUCAUGGCCCUUACGUGUUGGGCUACACACGUGCUACAAUGGUAUAUACAACAGGAAGCAAGACGGCGACGUUAAGCAAAUCCUCAAAAGAUACCUCAGUUCGGAUUGCACUCUGCAACUCGAGUGCAUGAAGCUGGAAUUACUAGU
RNAcentral lists this ribosomal RNA (898 nucleotides) under marine metagenome. RNAcentral's name for it is "bacterial SSU rRNA". It matches the Rfam family "Bacterial small subunit ribosomal RNA", at positions 422 to 1339 of the family's 1533-position model. The record is from RNAcentral.